AGGAAACUUGACUCUGUGUCGGCCUCUUCUAUCCUGCAGACAUGUCUGCUGAAGGAUUACUGGGACAACUGCUGGGAGGAGCCCAGCAACAGGGCGCCCUUCAGCAUCGGGUCUCGGCACUUUUCAGCUUGCUCAACUCUUGGAGGUGGUGAGGAGGUGGUGCUCCCAAGGGCACACCAGGGCUCUUCCCCAUCAGCACUCACACCUGGUGCUGGGGAUCCCUAGUGCAGACCCAGUGCUAUGACAUCGCACGGAGGACAUCUCGAAAGACAACUAUCGCAAACAGACACAAGAAGCAACCAAACGAAUAAAAAGCCAGAAAAUGUUGAAUUAUUACUGACUUGCUGAACUAUUCCUGAACUUUUUUAUUCAAAAUGGCAAUCUUCUGGUUGUCUGCGUUGCUUGGUUAGCAGGGUUUGGGGGCCCUGCAGGUAAAAUGUUACCCCAACAAGGCGAACUGCAAUUUCCUUAAAAAAAAAAAACAUAAAAUAAAAUAAAA
Molecule: long non-coding RNA, 499 nt
Organism: Scleropages formosus (Asian bonytongue)
Lineage: Eukaryota; Metazoa; Chordata; Actinopteri; Osteoglossiformes; Osteoglossidae
Exons: 3
Source: RefSeq, a predicted model, not a curated record